GAGUUUGAUCAUGGCUCAGAUUGAACGCUGGCGGAAUGCUUUACACAUGCAAGUCGAACGGCAGCACGGGUGCUUGCACCUGGUGGCGAGUGGCGAACGGGUGAGUAAUGCGUCGGAACGUACCGAGUAAUGGGGGAUAACGCAGCGAAAGUUGUGCUAAUACCGCAUACGCCCUGAGGGGGAAAGUGGGGGACCGCAAGGCCUCACGUUAUUCGAGCGGCCGACGUCUGAUUAGCUAGUUGGUGGGGUAAAGGCCUACCAAGGCGACGAUCAGUAGCGGGUCUGAGAGGAUGAUCCGCCACACUGGGACUGAGACACGGCCCAGACUCCUACGGGAGGCAGCAGUGGGGAAUUUUGGACAAUGGGGGCAACCCUGAUCCAGCCAUUCCGCGUGAGUGAAGAAGGCCUUCGGGUUGUAAAGCUCUUUCAGUUGGAACGAAACGGUACGCUCUAACAUAGCGUGCUAAUGACGGUACCGACAGAAGAAGCACCGGUUAACUACGUGCCAGCAGCCGCGGUAAUACGUAGGGUGCGAGCGUUAAUCGGAAUUACUUGGGCGUUAAAGCGUGCGCAGGCGGAUUGUUAAAGCAAGAUGUGAAAAUCCCCCGGGCUUAACCUGGGGAAUGGCAUUUUGAACUGGCAGUCUAGAGUGCGUCAGAGGGGGGUGGAAUUCCACGUGUAGCAGUGAAAUGCGUAGAGAUGUGGAGGAACACCGAUGGCGAAAGGCAGCCCCCCUGGGAUGACACUGACGCUCAUGUACGAAAGCGUGGGUAGCAAACAGGAUUAGAUACCCUGGUAGUCCACGCCCUAAACGAUGUCAACUGGUUGUUGGGGGAGUGAAAUCCCUUAGUAACGAAGCUAACGCGUGAAGUUGACCGCCUGGGGAGUACGGUCGCAAGAUUAAAACUCAAAGGAAUUGACGGGGACCCGCACAAGCGGUGGAUGAUGUGGAUUAAUUCGAUGCAACGCGAAAAACCUUACCUACCCUUGACAUGUCCGGAAUCCUGAAGAGAUUUGGGAGUGCUCGAAAGAGAGCCGGAACACAGGUGCUGCAUGGCUGUCGUCAGCUCGUGUCGUGAGAUGUUGGGUUAAGUCCCGCAACGAGCGCAACCCUUAUCAUUAGUUGCUACGCAAGGGCACUCUAAUGAGACUGCCGGUGACAAACCGGAGGAAGGUGGGGAUGACGUCAAGUCCUCAUGGCCCUUAUGGGUAGGGCUUCACACGUCAUACAAUGGUCGGUACAGAGGGUUGCCAAGCCGCGAGGUGGAGCCAAUCCCAGAAAGCCGAUCGUAGUCCGGAUUGUUCUCUGCAACUCGAGAGCAUGAAGUCGGAAUCGCUAGUAAUCGCGGAUCAGCAUGUCGCGGUGAAUACGUUCCCGGGUCUUGUACACACCGCCCGUCACACCAUGGGAGUGGAAUCUGGCAGAAGUAGGUAGCCUAACCGCAAGGAGGGCGCUUACCACGCUGGGUUUCAUGACUGGGGUGAAGUCGUAACAAGGUAACC
Molecule: ribosomal RNA, 1503 nt
Filed under: uncultured Hydrogenophilaceae bacterium
Lineage: Bacteria; Pseudomonadati; Pseudomonadota; Hydrogenophilia; Hydrogenophilales; Hydrogenophilaceae
Description: bacterial SSU rRNA
Rfam family: Bacterial small subunit ribosomal RNA
Source: RNAcentral